Molecule: long non-coding RNA, 201 nt
Organism: Archocentrus centrarchus (flier cichlid)
Lineage: Eukaryota; Metazoa; Chordata; Actinopteri; Cichliformes; Cichlidae
Exons: 3
Source: RefSeq, a predicted model, not a curated record
CGAGGAUCACUCAUGAGAAGGAGCGCUUGUUUUGCUGACCAGAGACACCUUACCUCUGUGCUCAUUUUGUGAAACUGCAGAGUCGCGAGGAUCACUCAUGAGAAGGAGCGCUUGUUUUGCUGACCAGAGACACCUUACCUCUGUGCUCAUUUUGUGAAACUGCAGAUGCAGAUGGAGAAUUAAAGACAACUGAUGCCACAA